Molecule: long non-coding RNA, 760 nt
Organism: Eublepharis macularius
Lineage: Eukaryota; Metazoa; Chordata; Lepidosauria; Squamata; Eublepharidae
Exons: 3
Source: RefSeq, a predicted model, not a curated record
GGAAAUGAAAGCACCAUUCCUCCCAUAAAGAGUAAGAAACAUCAAGACUUUUGCUUUCUAUUCCACACACCAAUUUUCUUCAUUAAAAGGACUGACAUUUCCUGGAAUGGAUCAUUCCCCAGGAGAAAUGCAAGUUCCAAAAGGCAGUUACAGAUGCAGUGGUCCCUCCGUGGAAGAUAGCUGAGCUGGCAUGACAUCGUAGCAGUGAGAUGGGCAGCGAAAGAAAGGGGGAGAUGCUGCUGGGUUCCCAGGUGGUCACAACAGAGAUCCCCAGGGCCUUCGGGCCGGUUGCUUGUGGGGCCAGGAAGAAAUAUUUCCCCACAAGGUCAGGAAGAAAUUUUCCCCCACAAAGAACUGACAAGUGCUGGAGGAAGUGGAAAAUCCAGGAAAGCGACAAAAGAAAUCCUGGCUUGCUCUUCCGUACAGUUUCAUGCUGCUGGGUCAGUGAUUAACAAAGACAAGGUCCUACUGCAGGGAAGCUAAAUGGAGUUCAUUACGGGCAUAAGAGCUGGGGAGGCCAAAAAGGUGAGACUACGUGAAACAGGAUGAAAUGAGACACUAAUAAGUAUGGGUUUCACUUCCUUAAUGUAACUGUAAGGACAGCUUUUAACUAUCACCCACUCAUAAGAAUUACGGAUGGCAGCAAUUCAAAGCAAAUAUUUUAUGUUAUUAUGAGCCCCUAUCUUGGGUGCAGUGGUGGUAGAAAGCUUCCGUGAGUUAAAUAAUAGGCCACAUCUUUCUUAUCCAAAGCAUCCAACAG